This 585-nucleotide ribosomal RNA is filed under the name Triticum aestivum (bread wheat). Its description in RNAcentral is "partial small subunit ribosomal RNA". The record is from RNAcentral. Lineage: Eukaryota; Viridiplantae; Streptophyta; Magnoliopsida; Poales; Poaceae.
AUGGUGUCCUGGGAUGAUCUUCCCAGUUCUUCUGAAGAUGACUCUGUAACCAGCAAGGAAGUACCUAAAUGCAAAUAUGUUGAGUGGGUUGACCUUGAGUGGCCUAAUGCUCUGAAGAUGAGCCUAGAUAGUAUAUGGACCAUGUAUGAAGAGGAGAAAAAACAAAGGCUCAGACAGAAUAUUGUGAGUGCUGAAGAAAACUUGAAGGUUCUUGAAGAGAAGAAGAAGAUGGAGAAUGAGUUGAGGCAUUUCAAGCUUGAUUUUGCUAAGAUGGUGGCUGAGAAGGAGCAGGCAAUGAGACAAUUAGGCAGCACACAACUUGCUCUGACUGAUCUAAAGGAAGAACUUGAGAAGAAGAAGAUGACAGACAAGUCAGUAACCAACAUUCAUCAGGUCUUCAGGGUUAAAGCAGAGAAAGAGAGGGACCAAGCAGUGCAGGAGAGGGACCAAGUGAUUCAAGAGAGGGAUGAUUUGAAGCAUGAGAAAAGGAAGCUUGAGUACAUGAUUGGUGACCUAUUCGACCACAAAGAGGCCACCAAGGAGAAGAUAAGGAAGCUGAAGGGCAUGCUGAAUGAAUUUGAUUGA